RNAcentral lists this ribosomal RNA (263 nucleotides) under uncultured bacterium. Its description in RNAcentral is "partial 16S ribosomal RNA". It matches the Rfam family "Bacterial small subunit ribosomal RNA", at positions 524 to 786 of the family's 1533-position model. The record is from RNAcentral.
UACGGAGGGUGCGAGCGUUGUUCGGAAUUAUUGGGCGUAAAGCGCGUGUAGGCGGUUUGAUAAGUCUGAUGUGAAAGCCCCGGGCUCAACCCGGGAAGUGCAUUGGAAACUGUCAGACUUGAAUACGGGAGAGGGCAGUGGAAUUCCUAGUGUAGGAGUGAAAUCCGUAGAUAUUAGGAGGAACACCGGUGGCGAAGGCGGCUGCCUGGACCGAUAUUGACGCUGAGACGCGAAAGCGUGGGGAGCAAACAGGAUUAGAUACC